This 232-nucleotide ribosomal RNA is filed under the name uncultured bacterium. Its description in RNAcentral is "partial 16S ribosomal RNA". It matches the Rfam family "Bacterial small subunit ribosomal RNA", at positions 104 to 334 of the family's 1533-position model. The record is from RNAcentral.
CGGGGUGAGUAACGCGUGGGUAACCUGCCUUGUACUGGGUGACAACAGUUAGAAAUGACUGCUAAUACCGCAUAAGCGCACAGUAUCGCAUGAUACAGUGUGAAAAACUCCGGUGGUACAAGAUGGACCCGCGUCUGAUUAGCUAGUUGGUAAGGUAAGGGCUUACCAAGGCGACGAUCAGUAGCCGACCUGAGAGGGUGACCGGCCACAUUGGGACUGAGACACGGCCCAA